This 502-nucleotide ribosomal RNA is filed under the name uncultured Glomeromycotina. RNAcentral's name for it is "partial small subunit ribosomal RNA". It matches the Rfam family "Eukaryotic small subunit ribosomal RNA", at positions 591 to 1092 of the family's 1831-position model. Lineage: Eukaryota; Fungi; Glomeromycota. The record is from RNAcentral.
CCAAUAGCGUAUAUUAAAGUUGUUGCAGUUAAAAAGCUCGUAGUUGAACUUCGGGGUCUACCCAUUGGUCAGGCUUAAUUGUCUGUACUGGUGAGAUGGAUCUCUACCUUCUGAGGAACUUUCAUGCCAUUUAUUUGGUGUGGUUGGAAAUCAGGACUGUUACUUUGAAAAAAUUAGAGUGUUUAAAGCAGACUAUCGUCUGAAUACAUUAGCAUGGAAUAAUGAAAUAGGACGGACUGAUUCUAUUUCGUUGGUUUCUAGGAUCACCGUAAUGAUUAAUAGGGAUAGUUGGGGGCAUUAGUAUUCAAUUGUCAGAGGUGAAAUUCUUGGAUUUAUUGAAGACUAACUACUGCGAAAGCAUUUGCCAAGGAUGUGUUCAUUAAUCAAGAACGAAAGUUAGGGGAUCGAAGACGAUCAGAUACCGUCGUAGUCUUAACCAUAAACUAUGCCGACUAGGGAUCGGACGAAGUUAAUUUUAUAAUGACGCUUUAGGCACCUUACG